Molecule: long non-coding RNA, 1390 nt
Organism: Salvelinus sp. IW2-2015
Lineage: Eukaryota; Metazoa; Chordata; Actinopteri; Salmoniformes; Salmonidae
Source: RefSeq, a predicted model, not a curated record
ACUGGUGUUGUAACCCUGGGUGACUGUUUCUGUGUUACAGAUCAACUGGUGUUCCCACUAUGGCGUGUUGUAUCCCUGGGUCAGCAUCCUGACUCCAGCUCACGUCAACAUCAUUCCAGAAGACCUCCUCAAACUACAGUCCCUGCUGUGCGGUCCCACCCUGGACGCGUCAUCCAUCCUGCCCCUGUUGGAGCAGCUGCCAGACGGGGACAACGCCGGGCUCAGUGUGCACGUGCUCUGRGCCACCAAGCUGGGUCACUACGAGAGCUCCAUCGAGAGGUUGCUAGACCGCUGUCCUCAGGCCAUCAUCCCUUARGCUAAUCAUGAGCUGCAGAACAACAACAUGGCUCUGUGGUGGCAGAAGRUGUUCCCUGAGCUGUGUGAGAGAACCAGGGCAACACAGGGAGAGAACAGCAUCCUGCUGGCUGCUCUCAAAGAAACGUUGGUGUGUUGCCAUGGAGCUGAACCCCCUGGAGUUCCUGGACCUGUUGCCUGACGACGGGACGGUCCACUUCUUCCUGCCUCACCUGCUGGAGUGCAGCCAGAGAAACCUCAUGAUGUGAGGAGGAAGAGGAGGAGGAGCUGUAGAAUUACAACUAGUAGAACAGACUAGUAGCUCUAAAAACCAAUGUUUUAUUUCAUGGUCCAUCCAAUAUGGCAGAUUAGUUGAAUUUGACAUUUCUGCCUAAGUAGAACUGGUUAGUUAGUGUCCAUUUUAAGCAUACAUUCCAAAUGGUACGCCCAGUACAGCAACUGAUGCAACGUACCGUUGGUUUGAAUGGAAAUGUCCCUUCUACUGAUUCUAUUUCUAUGGAGGAUCCUAAACCUGGAAGGCGCUGGACAAUCAACCACUUAGAGUGGAGUGAGCCUCUGAAAAKCCUACUACUGCAGAGCCUUAUGGAAAUGGUACCCAUACAAAACCACUGUUUGUAGUCCUAUUAGUCAAAUUUAAUAUGAACAGAGAAUUUUGCUGUGCAGAGAUAUGACACUAUUUUUGAUUUUUAAUAAGGAAAUCCUGAAUAAUUUUUUWWAACUUUUUUUUUUCUUCUCUGACCUCAAUUUUUCUAUUYCUGUUUUAGUAUUGUCACGUACCACUGCAGGGUAUGACUAGCGACAAGUCCUCUUCUGUGUGGACUUGUGGAUACCCCUGAGACCGUUAUUACUGAGUAUUAGGAACWGGAUGUUGAGUUAUACACUGGGCUAGUCUUUCUGGUGUUCAUUGGAAGAAGAGAUAAGGAAAGGUGGUUGAAUAACGUGGAAGGGAGUUUCUCUGAGAGGUGUAACCUCACUACUGUGAAACCCCCCGUAUAUCAUAUAUUCCCAGUGUUUGUUUAGCUUUUAUCACAUUUUUUUUUGGUUCGCUGCGUUUAAUAAAUGCUCUCUAAAAACA